Molecule: ribosomal RNA, 491 nt
Filed under: uncultured bacterium
Lineage: Bacteria
Description: partial 16S ribosomal RNA
Rfam family: Bacterial small subunit ribosomal RNA
Source: RNAcentral
GAUGAACGCUGGCUACAGGCUUAACACAUGCAAGUCGAGGGGGAACGACGGGGAAGCUUGCUUCCCCGGGCGUCGACCGGCGCACGGGUGAGUAACGCGUAUCCAACCUGCCUCUGACUGAGGGAUAACCCGUCGAAAGUCGGCCUAAUACCUCAUGGCAUCGUCUGCGGGCAUCCAACGACGAUUAAAGAAUUCAUCGGUCAGAGAUGGGGAUGCGUCUGAUUAGCUUGUUGGCGGGGUAACGGCCCACUAAGGCGACGAUCAGUAGGGGUUCUGAGAGGAAGGUCCCCCACAUUGGAACUGAGACCCGGUCCAAACACCUACAGGAGGCAGCAGUGAGGAAUAUUGGUCGAUGGGCGAGAGCCUGAACCAACCAAGUAGCGUGCAGAAUGACGGCCCUAUGGGUUGUAAACUGCUUUUAUGCGGGGAUAAAGUGAGGGACGUGUCCUUCAUUGCAGGUACCGCAUGAAUAAGGACCGGCUAAUUCCGUG